GACGAACGCUGGCGGCGUGCCUAACACAUGCAAGUCGAACGGAAAGGCCCUGCUUGCGUGGGGAGCUAGAGGGGCGAACGGGUGAGUAACACGGGAGUAACCUGCCCUGGACGUUGGGAUAACUUCAGGAAAGUGGGGCUAAUACAGGAGAGGAGCUCCUGCAGCAUGGUGGGGGUCGGAAAGUUUCGGAGGAUGGGGAUGGACUCGCGGCUUAUCAGCUUGUGGGGGGGGUAGUGGCUUACCAAGGCUUGGACGGGUAGCCGGCCUUAGAGGGUGACCGGCCUCAUUGGUCCUGCGCUACGCCCCAGUCUCCUACGGUCGGCAGCAGUGGGGAGUAUUGCACAAUGGGCCGAAGCCUGAUGCAGCGACGCCGCGUUCGUGAUGCCCUCCUUCUUGUUGUAAACCGCUUUCGCCUGUGACGAAGCGUGUGUGACGUUACUGGGUAAAUAAGCACCGGCUAACUACGUG
This 468-nucleotide ribosomal RNA is filed under the name uncultured bacterium. RNAcentral's name for it is "partial 16S ribosomal RNA". It matches the Rfam family "Bacterial small subunit ribosomal RNA", at positions 28 to 507 of the family's 1533-position model. The record is from RNAcentral.